AUGGUGCCGCCGUGGCUGCCUGCCCAGGAUCCCGCUGCACUGCCGCCGCUCCGGCGCGACGCUGCCCCGUGGCCGCUUGCGCACUCCGCGGAACGCGCGCCGGCUGCUUGCGUCCGCCGUCUCUUGCUUCACCGGCGCUGCGGUGGAGUGAGCGCUGCCGUGGCCUCGGGCGUGGCUUCCUGGUACUUGGAGAGCAUGUCGAGCAGCAACAUCUUGUCGGCAUCGAUGUUGUCGAACGGGAGCAGUGGCGGCGUGGCCGGGGCUCGGUGGUGCCAGGUCGCCGAGUCGGCGGAGCUGGUGGAGAAGCCCGGCGAGGCGAGGCGAGGGCGAGUGCUGCUGCAGCAGCAGCUGCUCGGUGGUGUGUGGUCAUGGCAUGGCGGGUCAGAAAGUUAA
RNAcentral lists this ribosomal RNA (393 nucleotides) under Triticum aestivum (bread wheat). RNAcentral's name for it is "partial small subunit ribosomal RNA". The record is from RNAcentral. Lineage: Eukaryota; Viridiplantae; Streptophyta; Magnoliopsida; Poales; Poaceae.